RNAcentral lists this long non-coding RNA (1243 nucleotides) under Olea europaea (common olive). RNAcentral describes it as "long non-coding RNA (OEUR_LNC012865)". The record is from RNAcentral. Lineage: Eukaryota; Viridiplantae; Streptophyta; Magnoliopsida; Lamiales; Oleaceae.
UAUUAAGUAUUUAUUUGUUAGAGAGAAAAUAGCUGAGUCUUAUAUUUGUAUUGAGCAUAUUUCGACAUAUCAUAUAUUAGUUGAUCCACCAACUAAAGUUUAGCUCCUAAAUUGUUUCAAGAGCAUAUGACUCAUUUGAGAUUGUUAGAGUCUUAUGUUGUAUUUAGUUAGUCGGAGUUCUGUAAUUAUUGCUAUUUUAACAUAUUAUUUAUGCUCAUAUGCUGUUUUGUCAUUAAAAUAUAGUAAUGUAAAUGAAUGCCUGAGUCACGAACAUUCUGGACAAAGCGUGUUUUAUGUAUUAGACAUUUUGAUUAGUCUUGUACCUGGGUCACGCGCAUUUUGGACAAGGCAAUGUUCAUAUAUAUUGAGACAUUUUGACCAGUCUCAUGUCUGAGUCACGCACAUUUUGGACAAGGCAUACUUUAUGUAUUGAGACAUUUUGAUUAGUCUCGUGCAUGGGUCACGUGCAUUUUGAAUAAGACAAUGUUUAUAUAUAUUGAGACAGUUUGAUUAGUCUCGUGCUUGAGUCACGUGCAUUUUGGACAAGGUGUACUUUAUGUAUUGAGACAUUUUGAUUAGUCUCGUACCUGAGUCACGCACAUUUUGGACAAGGCAAUAUUCAUAUAUAUAUUCAGACAUUUUGAUUGGUCUCAUGCUUGAGUCACGUGCAUUAUGGACAAGGCGUACUGUAUGUAUUGAGACAUUUUGAUCAGCCUCGUGCCUGAAUCAAACACAUUUUGGAUAAGGCAAUGAUUAUAUGUGUUGAGACGUUUUGGUUAGUCUCAUGCCUGAGUCACGCACGUUGUGAACAAGGCAUAUUAUCUAUAAGAGACAAUAUGUUUUAGUCGAUGUCUAAGCCUGGCAGUUGUAAGUAUAUGUUUAGUGUCAUAUACCCUGCUAGUAUGGUCAUUAGGCUAUGUGCUACAACUGUAUUUGGGACAAAGCUUAUCAUUUUUUAAAGACUUUUAGAUUUGUCUCUAAGGCUUCUUAUGGAAACGGGUGUUUAUCACUCUUUUGAUAUUUUCCGUACUGCUUCUACAUCUCAUUAGCCUAUUUUACAUGAUUACAAGUAUUGGUCAUGUGUUGUAUAUCGUGUCAGUAUAUCAUUCACUGGUUUGAACUUGUAAACACAUUUUGAACAAGGUUUUUUGAUUUUGAGAUGCUUGUUUGUGUUUAUGUAAUGAUUAAAUGAAGGGAAAAUUUCAUAAUUCAGGUGUAUUGUUUACACCAAUUCACAAAUUAG